Molecule: long non-coding RNA, 241 nt
Organism: Carassius auratus (goldfish)
Lineage: Eukaryota; Metazoa; Chordata; Actinopteri; Cypriniformes; Cyprinidae
Exons: 3
Source: RefSeq, a predicted model, not a curated record
UGCUGUGCAGAAUACACCUCUAGAUUAGUUGCAAGAGAAGAUUUGCUUAAGUUCAACUGCCGGGCGACGUCAGUGGAGAACACCUUGGAGCAAAUCCUCCAUACUGUUUUCUUCAUGCUCGGCCCGCCACUGAUGGAUAAUCUGUUCACCUUCAACAGUCUUUGUUCCAGCCUAUCUAGGUCUGCAGUAGAUGCUAGAGGAAAGACACCACCCUCUUCCUCUUCAGCCAUCAGCAUUUGGG